GACAUGGCUAACCAGAAGAAGCUGAUAGACGAGCUCUGUGGGAUUGUUACUUCUUUUCUAUGUCCCCAGGGGAUUGUGCCAGAGAUUGAAAAAUGUUCUACAAAGCUGCCUCAUUUUUCUAAAGGUGGAACAAAGCCUGUGUGCACAGUGAGGCUCCAGCAUGGCCACACUUAUCACAUUGAGUUUGUGUACAAGUUUUGGCAGCACAUUUUGGGCCAGCUUCGCCUGCCCCUACAGCCUUGCUUUAUUUUGACAAAUAACGGCUUGGCCACCACUUUGAAAUGUUUUAUGAGCCCGCCAAGGGAUAUAGACUUUCAGUAUGGCAACAGGGUCAAUAUGGCCUGCGAUGUGAAUUUGGAGAAAAACUCUUGUGUUAUCAUAGAGGACGAGGAUUUCCUGAGGUUCAAGAGCUACCAUGUGUUUCCCAAGGACGUACCAAUCUAUAACUCUAUGGUGGUAUGUAGAACCUACAUCACUGAUAUGAGGAACGCAGUACAAUUUUUUGUGGUCAAGCCUGGAAACAGGAGAAAGAUUGUGCAUAUGUUGGAAAGUAUUGAGGAGAUGCCUGAAACCCCACAACAGUUGUAUUUUUGUGGUGGACGUGGGUAUAAGAUGAUAGGGGCUGGGCUCUCCCUCUUCUUUUUUGCAGCCAUAGUGGCGCUGGCCAGUAAACUAGUAUGGUGAUGGGGGCCUUGGACUAUCUGCGCUUGAUGAAUAUUUCAGUGGAUGAGUUUAGAAGCUUUUGUAUCUAUGGCCACCUCAGUGGGCAGCGUGGAUGGGGUGAGCUGUUGUUGAGCAAUCUUUCAUUUAAAAGAGCAGUGUGCCAUAUACUGAAAAUACAGUGUGAGACUAAGAAGAGGUGGACAAACAAGGUAUUGGUGGCGAAUAGUGCGUUGUCCCUACUGACCCUCUUCAGGAUGGUUCUUCAUGAAUGUGUUUUUUCACACAAAUAUUUUAUACCUGACAGGAUCGAGGACAUGUGUUUCCCGCUGACCAAAAUACUCACUGUGCCCUUCCUCAAGGCCCUAGAUCUGUAUCUCUCCCAGUUUUCCAUCUCAUGCAAGUUUCCCAUAAUUAAAAUAUCCACUGUGAAUCCUA
Molecule: non-coding RNA, 1098 nt
Filed under: synthetic construct
Source: RNAcentral